RNAcentral lists this ribosomal RNA (253 nucleotides) under uncultured bacterium. RNAcentral's name for it is "partial 16S ribosomal RNA". It matches the Rfam family "Bacterial small subunit ribosomal RNA", at positions 524 to 776 of the family's 1533-position model. The record is from RNAcentral.
UACGUAGGGUGCGAGCGUUAAUCGGAAUUACUGGGCGUAAAGCGUGCGCAGGCGGUUUUGCAAGCCGGAUGUGAAAUCCCCGGGCUUAACCUGGGAAUGGCAUUUGGGACUGCAAGGCUGGAGUGCGGCAGAGGAGACUGGAAUUCCUGGUGUAGCAGUGAAAUGCGUAGAUAUCAGGAGGAACACCGAUGGCGAAGGCAGCCCCCUGGGUCAAAACUGACGCUCAUGCACGAAAGCGUGGGGAGCAAACAGG